Molecule: long non-coding RNA, 450 nt
Organism: Sapajus apella (tufted capuchin)
Lineage: Eukaryota; Metazoa; Chordata; Mammalia; Primates; Cebidae
Exons: 3
Source: RefSeq, a predicted model, not a curated record
GAUCAUACCAUUGCACACCAGCCUGGGCAACAAGAACGAAACUCUGUGUCAAAAAUAAUUAAUAGUCGUUUCUGUCCGUGGAUGCCACUGAAGAAGCAUCAUUAAAGUCUCUCUGCUCCCUGUGAUCAUGUCUAAGUCAGAGUCUCCUAAAGAGCCGAACAGCUGAGGAAGUUCUUCAUUGGAGUGUUGAGCUUUGAAACAACCAAUGACAGGCUGAGGAGCCAUUCUGAGCCAUGGGGAACGCUCACGGACUGUGUGGUAAUGAGGGAUCCAAACACCAAGCUCUCCAGGGGCUUUGGGUUCUUCACAUAUGCCACUGUGGAGGAGGCAGACGCAGCCAAGGGUGCAAGGCCACACAAAGUGGAUGAAAGAGUUGUGGAACCAAAGAGAGCUGUCUCAAGAGAAGAUUCUCAAAGACCAGGACCAAGUCUCACUCUGUCACCUAGGCUG